UGUCAAGGCGUAUACCGCUUGUCAGAUGACCGGCCAACUAUUAUCUUUGGUGCUGAUGUGACCCAUCCUCACCCGGGAGAGGAUUCAAUCCCCUCCAUCGCUGCUGUUGUGGCAUCACAAGAUUGGCCAGAGGUAACAAAGUAUGCUCAAGCCCAUCGCCAAGAGUUGAUUCAGGAUCUGUUUAAAGUAUGGCAGAAUCCAGUUCGAGGAACUGUGACGGGUGGCAUGGUUAAGGAACUUCUUAUCUUUUUCCGUAGAGCAACUGGACAGAAGCCUCUGCAUAUUAUAUUUUACAGGGAUGGAGUGAGGAUCAGUUUUACCAAGUUCUACUCUAUGAGCUUGAUGCUAUUUUCAAGGCUCGCCAGUUUCUUUCCACCUUAGGUGACAUCAUUCAAACUCGGAUUUUCGCUAAGAUCGAAAACCUCGAGGGGUCAACUCAUUUCGAUGAAAUCCUCCAAGAAACUGAUGGCAUUAUCCUAUCUCCACCAGUCCAGCAGUGUAUUGCUGUUAAUGCAUUGCGAGAAGAGAAGUUUGUGAUCUUUGUUAAGUGCCUCGAUGGUAAAAGUCUUACUAUCACUGUUGCGAAUACCGACUCAGUAACAAGCAUUAAAAAGGCAGUGUUCCAAAAACUGAAGCUUCCGCCGGACCUGCAAAGACUACUCUUCGCAGGAAAACAGCUCGAAGACGAGUUUUGCAUGUCUCAUUACAACAUUGUGAAGGACUCAGUGAUAAUAUUGUCCCUUAGACUACGAGGAGGAAGGGGUCCUUGACUAAGACAUCUCUGCCUGAAAUGCAAAAACGGCUACAGGACAGCAACAGAGUUGGCUGCUCAUAACUGCGAGCAUGCUGCUGCUGCUGCUAUCGCUGCCAGAACCAAUAAACUCAACAGCAUGUUUGUGCUUAUAGUAAAUAAUUUUGAUAAGCUAAUGGAAGUGAGGUUCGAGGACUUCAUGUGGACGCAUACGACUCUGUAUUCUUGUCUGAAUAGAGCAGAGCGUAGAUACAUGACUGAGCGCUGCGUGGAUAGAAUUCGUGGUACAAGGGAUGAGUAUAGUGCACAAAAUGCUCAGAAUGUCCUCAUAGCUGUGGAGGCACGGGCGGUAAGGAUGUAUCCAGAUCUGCCACCAGAACCACCAGCCCCAAAACCUCGCCUGUACACAAAUGCAAAGAAGGCCAUGAAAAGGGCAUAGGCACUACUUGAAAGGUUCGUGGCUGUAGUAUCUUUACAUUUGUACUAUUGCUGAAGCUAAUAAUGCACUUCUCGUACUCUUAUAUAUUGAAGUUUGUUAAAUGCCUAGCUUAAUGGUUUUUUUUAUAUGUUGUGUAACAACCAAACUGCAGAAACAUCUGCACAUCUUUUUAUAUCUUGUUCCUUCAC
This is a long non-coding RNA of Papaver somniferum (opium poppy), 1378 nucleotides long. RefSeq lists it as uncharacterized. The record is from RefSeq and is a predicted model, not a curated record. NCBI's taxonomy places the organism in Eukaryota, Viridiplantae, Streptophyta, Magnoliopsida, Ranunculales, Papaveraceae. The transcript has 9 exons.